Molecule: small nuclear RNA, 104 nt
Filed under: Fukomys damarensis (Damara mole-rat)
Lineage: Eukaryota; Metazoa; Chordata; Mammalia; Rodentia; Bathyergidae
Source: RNAcentral
ACACUCGUUUCAGCAGUACAGGCAUUAAAAUUGGAAAUAUAUAGAGUAUGGUAUGGCCUCUAAGCAAGUAUGACACUAAAAUUCAUGAAGCAUUCCUUUUGUUU